CACAAUAUGAGUCCGAGUCUCACU
This 24-nucleotide non-coding RNA is filed under the name Arabidopsis thaliana (thale cress). Lineage: Eukaryota; Viridiplantae; Streptophyta; Magnoliopsida; Brassicales; Brassicaceae. The record is from RNAcentral.